Molecule: ribosomal RNA, 253 nt
Filed under: uncultured bacterium
Lineage: Bacteria
Description: partial 16S ribosomal RNA
Rfam family: Bacterial small subunit ribosomal RNA
Source: RNAcentral
UACAGAGGUGGCAAGCGUUGUUCGGAAUUACUGGGCGUAAAGGGCGCGUAGGCGGUUCGUCAAGUCCUGUGUGAAAUCCCCCGGCUCAACUGGGGAACUGCACAGGAAACUAGCGGGCUUGAGUUCGGGAGAGGGAAGCGGAAUUCCGGGUGUAGCGAUGAAAUGCGUAGAUAUCCGGAGGAACACCGGUGGCGAAGGCGGCUUCCUGGACCGACACUGACGCUGAGGCGCGAAAGCUAGGGGAGCAAACGGG